GGGGGAUAAGUGAGUGACACUCAUGACCAGUUGCAGCGUCUGUUGGGUGGGUCUAAACCAGGAUAAUAACCUUCGUCUUCAUUGGGAUUCCAAUACAUUUGACUAGCCAUAUCCACUGCAGUGAUGGCUGGUGCUCUGGUCACUCUCCUAGCAGUGGUCACUGUUUACCGACAAAGGACCAUGACGAGGACUUGCAUGGUCAAGUAGACCAAUGUCAAAGAGCAGGACAGCAGGAAGUCCCCCAAAAUCCUCCCCCAGGGCAUCCUGAAGCGAGCCAGAGAAAGACAGAUGUCACUGAGGAAGAGGAGGGUGAUGAUGAAACAGACGUGAACACUCAGGCCAGGUAGGACUACCUCAAUGCAUGCUCAGGUGACAUGCGCUCACUCAACGUUAUCAGGACAUAGAAACACAACAGUGGCACAAGCCAAGAGACAAGAAGAUUGAUGACAAGCCUAUUCCAGCGGUCUUGGAGACAAAAGUGAGGGCAAAAGUGAGCUGGAAGAGAAGUCUACUGCAGUUAUAACUUUGACUGGUGAGCUACAUGUGAAUGCAUUGUUUACAUCUAAUGCAUGUAAUAACCAAUUAAACCACAAGAGGAUAUUUUUUUAUCACAGAUGCAAGUCCAUUAUAUCUUCAACUUUUACGUAUCAAAGAAACCCAUGUUUUACAUAUGGGCAGGUACUUACUGUAUAGGCACAAAUCUAUGGUUAGCAGCAGAAACAGUAUGGUAUCCAUAAACAAAUGUCAUCAAAUGUUUCCACCUCCAUGGUUGUAUGUUUAUGUUCUCAGGACAGUGUCAGAAGUAACAGAUGAAGAUGGGUGGGCGUAUAACGUGAACGUCUAGCAACCCGAAGAUUGUAAAUUUGAUUAUCAUUACAGACAACUUGCGCAUUUUAGCUAAUUAGCAACUUGUCAACUGUCAACUUACUACAUUUUAGUUACUUUUCAAAUACUAAGUAUGCUAGCUAACUCUUCCCCUAACCUUAACCCUUUUAGCUUAGCCUAACAUUAACCCUUUUAGCUAACCCUAACCCUAACCUUUACUCUUUAAGCUAACUUGUAAACAUAAUCCUAACCCCUAGCCUAGCUAACAUUAGCCAGACAGCUAACGUUAGCCACCCAGCCACCUAGCUAGAUUUCGUAACAUAUCAUAUUAUAACGACACAGGGCGAGACGCAGAUGCAGACACCAGAGGCAAAUGGUUCGAGUCUCUGAUAUUUAUUGAAAAACAAGGGGCAGGCAAGCGGCUGGUCGAGGACAAGCAUAAGUUCAUAAACCAGGUCAGAGUCCAGAAGGUACAGGGCAGCAGACAGUCUGGAGGUCAGGCUGAAUGGUCAGGCAGGCGGGUACAGUGUCAGGGCAGGCAAAGGGUCAGAACCGGGAGGACUAGAAAAACAGACUAGGAAAAACAGGAGCACGGAAAAACACACUACUUGACUUGACGAACUGGCAACAGACAGACAGAAGACACCGGUAGAAAUACAUAGGGAAUAACGGGAACAAAUGGGAGACACCUGGUGGGGGGUGAAGACAAGCACAAGACAGGUGAAACAGGGUGUGACACAUAUGUUUCGCAAAUUCAUAACAUAUACAGUAAUACAAAUUGUAAUUUGUAACAAAUCAUAGAAAAUGGUUGAUGGCCAUCCACAAAUGAUUACAUACCAUACGAAACGUAAUAUAUCAUACUAAAAGGAGUGUCUUGGACUUACACAGAUAAUAAUACGAAAUUCUCUGAGACCAGGUUGAGAAUACCCAUACAGAUUUCUGUCUGUGUGCAUGGGUGUGUGAGGACCAUCCUAUAAUAAGAAUGUGUGGCUGGAAGUUGGACAGCUGACUCCAGUCACCCAAGUCAUAGACUGUUUUCUCUGCUACUGCACGCCAGGUCUAGGACCAAAAGGCUCCUUAACAGCUUCUACCCUCAAGCCAUAAGUCUACUGAACAAUUAAUCAAAUGCC
This is a long non-coding RNA of Oncorhynchus gorbuscha (pink salmon), 1955 nucleotides long. RefSeq lists it as uncharacterized. The record is from RefSeq and is a predicted model, not a curated record. The transcript has 4 exons. Lineage: Eukaryota; Metazoa; Chordata; Actinopteri; Salmoniformes; Salmonidae.